This is a long non-coding RNA of Gossypium raimondii (Peruvian cotton), 1164 nucleotides long. RefSeq lists it as uncharacterized. The transcript has 2 exons. NCBI's taxonomy places the organism in Eukaryota, Viridiplantae, Streptophyta, Magnoliopsida, Malvales, Malvaceae. The record is from RefSeq and is a predicted model, not a curated record.
CAAAUCUUUUUUCUCUUUAUCAAUGGGAGUUUUACAUUUUAUACAGUGGGUUGAUUUUCAUUCUGGGUUUUUGUCAUUUGAUGUCAAUACAUCGACACAACUGUUAGAUUUGUUGUUAAGUGGCCGAUGACACUCGGGUACAUGUGACCCACACCUGUACGUUCUGCAUGAUAGAGAGAGAUUGAAAGAUAAGUGAACACUAAGACUAAUGGAUAAGAAUGAACAGUGAAAGGGAGAAGAAGGGUUUUUUUUUUUUUUCUUUCGCUUUGUUGUUGUGCUUGACAGGUUGGGGGUGGGUUUUUAUUAACUGAAAACGGCAUGCUUGUGGAAUUUCAAGGCCUUACUUUUGGUACUUUUUUUCCCUAAAUGGGUGUUUAGUCUUGUUUUCAGAUCUGACUCGUACCUUCAAUUUUUUUUUUUUGUUUCUAAGUGAAACAGUUUCCUUAUAUGGCAAAAGCUUUACCUUCUUUGGGACAGAGAAAUUGACAGAAGAGAGUGAGCACACAGAGGUAUUUGUAUAAAGCUUAUACUAAUGCUUUUGCGUGCUCACUCCUCUUUCCGUCAGCUUCCAGUGCCGGGAUUUGAUUUUUAAUUCUCCAUUUUGGUCAUAACUCGGCCUGUUUUUGUUCCAUAUACUCUCUCUCUCCCUCUAUUCUCAGAAUAGUUCAAUUUGACUGGCACCAAUGAAGGUGGUAUGCCCUACUGACGGCCUGACUGUAUCUUUUGUUUAUGAUUUAUGUUAUUAACAAGCGUGGCUUUUGAUGUUAUUCACUGUUGAGGUAUAAGCUUGAUUGAUUAUUGUGCAGGUUUAGUGGCAAAACGAUGAAUAUGGGACCAUUCACGUUAUCCCUUGCCUACUAAUAGCUAGUAUGGUCCUCCCUCAACAAAACCCUCUUUCUCUUUCUGCAAUUUUCUUCUUGUUGGAAGACACUGAUUUUCAGUUUUUGCAACACUGGAUCAAGGUUUGUUCUUUCUGGUACUUAGUUCUUGUUGUGUAUCAAAACAACACUGUACUUUGUUGUACUCUUUAUUAUUUCUUGUAUCUCCAAAAGCAUUUUCAGCUCUACAAUUGACUGUAGUAAGGCAACGACUUCCAUGCAAUCAACAAAUAUAAUGUUUUCUUUUAGGAAAUGAAACCAUUUUCAUGGAUGUUUGCACUUUUAA